UCCCUCUCUAUGCGUUGAUUUGAAGGCAACAAGUUAGCCUCUAUCUAAUUUUUCCUGAAUCCAAUUAAGCCACACAUCCUCCUCUUGUUCCUAUAUGCACGGCUGAAGAUCACCCAAGCAAAAGGAUUGCCCUACUUUAGUUUAGAAUCAGAUUAUCCUCUCAUGUUUUUCCUCACUGCCGCAAUCCACAAGUAAUAUAGCUCAAAGAAAGAAUUUCAUUGCAUUCCCUUUUCUCACAUACACAAACCGUGAACUACCUUGAAGGCAAAUGAUCAUCCAAAUUUCUAUUCUUUUUCCACUGCAUGUUUCGGCUGAGUGGAGCAAUCAACAAGGAGAUUUGGAAUAUAAGCUCACACACUUCUCUCCCUCUCCUUUCGGCUGAAAAACUCCCAAGCAAGGAGGUAGGCGUUUGUCUCUUUGUGGUUGUUUCCUACUAGAUCGGUCCUAAUCCAGUUUUGUUGUUUUUUUUCCACUGCAUGCUCAAGACUCAGCCAUGAUUGAGUCAUUAUUUCUCCUUGCAUGCAAAAACAAGAGUGUGAGAGUGAGAACAGAACCUUUGGUGGAUGUCCCAUUCAACGAUGGUGAAACAAAUGGGCACUUGAAGUGGGCACAAAUCGUGAAUUGCUCCUCCAACCCCCAUUCAAUGUGCGGCUGUGAAGGUUCAUAAACCUUAAGGAUGCCGGAUGGACUUGGGGGCUGUUUUGAUUAAAAAUGUUAAAGACUCGAGGAAAAGAUGAAAGAAAGUAAUAAGAAAGUUAUGUGGGAAAGAAAGGGUAAGAGACUGGUACGUAAAGAAGAAGAAACUCCACCUACCUGGGAAGAGAAACUAAAGGAUCUAACAGAUAGAGGCCUAUGGACUGAGGCUAUGAAAUUAUUAAUAGAAGCUUUUCCACAUUAUGAUUUCGAUGAAGCACUAAGUACACAAUGGCUAGAGGAACCACAACCACAUUAUGACUGGGCUUAUGAUGCGGCAUAAAUUAUGUUUUUAUUUAUGAUUAGUUAAUCUUUUUGGGAUUACAUUAAAUAAUGUUUAGUGUUAUUUAUUUUGUAUUGACGUUUUAACGCUUUUAAU
Molecule: long non-coding RNA, 1072 nt
Organism: Gastrolobium bilobum
Lineage: Eukaryota; Viridiplantae; Streptophyta; Magnoliopsida; Fabales; Fabaceae
Exons: 4
Source: RefSeq, a predicted model, not a curated record